GCAGGAUGUGCAGUAGGAGGUGGUAGCCACCUGGCUCUGCAGUAGGAGAUGGUAGCCAGCUGGAUGUGCAGUAUGAGGUGGUAGCCAGCUGGAUGUGCAGUAGGAGAUGGUAGCCAGAUGGAUGUGCAGUAGGAGUUGGUAGCCAGAUGGGUGUGCAGUAGGAGAUGGUAGCCAGAUGGAUGUGCAGUAAGUGGUAGCCAGAUGGGUGUGCAGUAGGAGACGGUAGCCAGAUGGAUGUGCAGUAGGAGAGCUGGUGGGUUGGUGGAUGAAGACAAGGCAGUGCUGCUGCACUGUGGGGCCGCCUGGCCUUCAUGCAUUAUGUAGGACCCUGUCACCAUCUCACCACCUCUCCCUCUGUCUCUGCAGUAAAUAUAGAUCAGCGACUGUCUUUUUCUC
This is a long non-coding RNA of Oncorhynchus tshawytscha (Chinook salmon), 396 nucleotides long. NCBI's taxonomy places the organism in Eukaryota, Metazoa, Chordata, Actinopteri, Salmoniformes, Salmonidae. The record is from Ensembl.